Molecule: ribosomal RNA, 253 nt
Filed under: uncultured bacterium
Lineage: Bacteria
Description: partial 16S ribosomal RNA
Rfam family: Bacterial small subunit ribosomal RNA
Source: RNAcentral
UACGUAGGGGGCUAGCGUUGUCCGGAAUCAUUGGGCGUAAAGGGCGUGUAGGCGGUCGAGUAAGUGGAAUGUGAAAUGCUCCGGCUCACCCGGAGUACUGCAUCCCAAACUGCUCGGCUUGAGUAUGGGAGAGGAUGAGGGAAUUCCUGGUGUAGCGGUGAAAUGCGUAGAUAUCAGGAGGAACACCGGUGGCGAAGGCGCUCAUCUGGCCCAAUACUGACGCUGAGGCGCGAAAGCUAGGGGAGCAAACGGG